CAUGGCUCAGAGCGAACGCUGGCGGCAGGCCUAACACAUGCAAGUCGAACGGACCCUUCGGGGUUAGUGGCGGACGGGUGAGUAACACGUGGGAACGUGCCUUUAGGUUCGGAAUAGCUCCUGGAAACGGGUGGUAAUGCCGAAUGUGCCCUUCGGGGGAAAGAUUUAUCGCCUUUAGAGCGGCCCGCGUCUGAUUAGCUAGUUGGUGAGGUAACGGCUCACCAAGGCGACGAUCAGUAGCUGGUCUGAGAGGAUGACCAGCCACACUGGGACUGAGACACGGCCCAGACUCCUACGG
This 298-nucleotide ribosomal RNA is filed under the name uncultured bacterium. Its description in RNAcentral is "partial 16S ribosomal RNA". It matches the Rfam family "Bacterial small subunit ribosomal RNA", at positions 18 to 344 of the family's 1533-position model. The record is from RNAcentral.